GUCUACGGCCAUACCACCCUGAACGCGCCCGAUCUCGUCUGAUCUCGGAAGCUAGCAGGGUCGGGCCCGGUUAGUACUUGGAUGGGAGACCGCCUGGGAAUACCGGGUGCUGUAGGCU
This 118-nucleotide ribosomal RNA is filed under the name Capra hircus (goat). The record is from RNAcentral. Lineage: Eukaryota; Metazoa; Chordata; Mammalia; Artiodactyla; Bovidae.